This 253-nucleotide ribosomal RNA is filed under the name uncultured bacterium. RNAcentral's name for it is "partial 16S ribosomal RNA". It matches the Rfam family "Bacterial small subunit ribosomal RNA", at positions 524 to 776 of the family's 1533-position model. The record is from RNAcentral.
GACGUAGGGCGCAAGCGUUGUCCGGAUUUAUUGGGCGUAAAGAGCUCGUAGGCGGCCUGUCGCGUCGACCGUGAAAACCCGCAGCUCAACUGCGGGCUUGCGGUCGAUACGGGCAGGCUGGAGUUCGGUAGGGGAGACUGGAAUUCCUGGUGUAGCGGUGAAAUGCGUAGAUAUCCGGAAGAACACCAAAGGCGAAGGCAGUGUCCUGGCUGGUACCUGACGCUUAGGUGCGAAAGCUAGGGGAGCGAACGGG